GACGAACGCUGGCGGCGUGCUUAACACAUGCAAGUCGAACGGAAAGGCCCUGCUUUUGUGGGGUGCUCGAGUGGCGAACGGGUGAGUAACACGUGAGUAACCUGCCCUUGACUUUGGGAUAACUUCAGGAAACUGGGGCUAAUACCGGAUAGGAGCUCCUGCUGCAUGGUGGGGGUUGGAAAGUUUCGGUGGUUGGGGAUGGACUCGCGGCUUAUGAGCUUGUUGGUGGGGUAGUGGCUUACCAAGGCUUUGACGGGUAGCCGGACUGGGAGGGUGACCGGCCACAGUGGGACUGGGAUACGGCCCAGAGUGCUACGGGGGGCAGCGGUGGGGAAUAUUGCACAAUGGGCGGAAGCCGGAUGCAGCGACGCCGCGUGCGGGAUGACGGCCUUCGGGUUGGAAACCGCGUUCGCCUGGGACGAAGCGUGAGUGACGGUAAUGUGUAAAGAAGCACCGGCUAACUACGUG
This 468-nucleotide ribosomal RNA is filed under the name uncultured bacterium. RNAcentral describes it as "partial 16S ribosomal RNA". It matches the Rfam family "Bacterial small subunit ribosomal RNA", at positions 28 to 507 of the family's 1533-position model. The record is from RNAcentral.